This 1303-nucleotide ribosomal RNA is filed under the name Triticum aestivum (bread wheat). RNAcentral's name for it is "partial small subunit ribosomal RNA". Lineage: Eukaryota; Viridiplantae; Streptophyta; Magnoliopsida; Poales; Poaceae. The record is from RNAcentral.
GGGUAGAGGGUCAGUCGGUCAGGGGUAGGGGGCUAAGGAGAGGGAGAGGGAAAAGGGAGCAGACGGCGGCGGUGACCGCUGGAGCGGCGCCGGCGGCGCUGGUGGGUGCGGGAGGGGUUGCCGGUGGGGAAGAGAGGAGGGGAAUGGAAGAGGAAUGGUCGCCGCUCGAGGAGGGGAGAGGGAGCGUGGUCUAGCUCGUCGUCCGGCCCUAGGCUUCGGCGGAGUCUAGGCCGUGCGGGUUUCGCUACCAAAAGCAACUCUUGCGGUACCUGUUCCACGAGACCGGGACAACGACGUCGGUACCUGUUCCACGGUAGGGGUAGAGAAAGAAGAGAGAGACAACCUAAGCAUAACCUUCGUCACUAUAAUUCCUAAAGAAACUAAACUCAAAAAAACUUGUUCUACACACGCCUAGCCUACUUCUUCUCUUCUCCUUCCUAGAACUCCUUCUCACUUGUUGUUCCUGCGUAUUACGUCUCAACACGGACCGACUGAUCCGAUCAAGGGUUGUUUAAGUUCGUCGAUUCGAACGUCCGUACACAUGAUAUUUCCCUUGGUUCAAGACGUAUAUAACAUAAACGUCUCUCGCAAAAACCGUACAUGCCAAGAUUGUUUAAACUCUAGAAGAAAGACUAAGAGCUUCUUUAUUUCAAUGAUAGGUAAUCAUGUUACUCCUUUUUUUACUAUACCACAACUUCGAUACUACUACCUUCGAGAUCUCUUUCAACUUCUACAAAGAUUGUUCUGUCUCAUAUCGACAGGAAACCGGUCAAACUCUUCUAUCUGUUUUUCUCGUUCCGUAAUUGGUGCUAAGAAGAACAACACUCUCUUUCUUUCAGUACCUGAGGUACAUCGUUAAUCUUUCCUGGGACGACGACCUCUCGUCGUUCAUUUGAGUGGUUAGCACGCGAAAAGCAAACCUAACGAUUCUGUUUAAGUAGGUCAGAGACGGAUGAUGUGUGCACACUAUAUUGUCGGCUGAACCGUCUUCGUUGGUCGACCUGACCUAUUGGUGCCGCACGCGCACGACCUCCGGAUCGCCUUCCUCGACGUGCGUGCCACAGACGUAGAAGCCGGAGCGACGUGGGGUCUUAGCUCAGUGUAGCAACACCCAAACGCGAAAGAAUUAUGAUAAACAGAGUCCCACAUAAGGUACCAAGUCUUAUGUACAUGAAAUAUUAAAUGUUACGGACCAAACCUAUUUUUGACAAGGAAUUCGGACAGUCUCCAAUAAACUAUCGUGAUGGGGGUCGACGAUUAAAUACGGAUGUAUGGACAUAGGUAGCGGUAAUAACUUAAGACG